RNAcentral lists this long non-coding RNA (1604 nucleotides) under Sus scrofa (pig). RNAcentral's name for it is "lncRNA (ENSSSCG00060023168.1)". The record is from RNAcentral. Lineage: Eukaryota; Metazoa; Chordata; Mammalia; Artiodactyla; Suidae.
AAAAAGUAUGUCUGGGUUUACAAAAGAAAAGGGAAUUCCCAUAUUUCAGAAGAAAAUAAAUUGCUGAAAACUGUGGCUUUGCCUCAUGAGCUAGCAUUUCGGCAGCUAUGCUGGAGAUUAUUGGAUCCACUUAGUCCUUGGGUUUCACGCCCACACAGGACUGGGACAGAGGCUUGGAGACUCAGUGGAAAACUGAACACAGUGGUCAAACAUCAUUCCAGAAUGAGGGAAAAUAAAAUCCUACAGUUCAUAAUAACCAUAGUUAGCAUUGACAGAAGUAUUGAAGAAUAUUCUUCAUAAAAAAAAAAAUGCAGUGGUGGAAGGCAAUUAGUAAUGAUGAGGGGGAAAAUGGGCACUUACGUUGACAAAAGUCAAUAAUGAGGAGUUCCCAUCGUGGCUCAGUGGAAAUGAACCUGACUAGUAUCCAGGAGGAUGCAGGUUCAGUCCCUGGCCUCGUUCAGUGCCUAAAGAUCCAGCAUUGCCAUGAGCUGUGGUGUAGGUCACAGACAUGGCUCGGAUGCAAGUUCAAUCCCUGGCCUCGCUCAGUGGGUUAAGGAUCUGGUGUUGCCAUGAGCCGUGUUACAGGUUGCAGGUACGGCUCUAAUCUCACAUUGCUGUGACAUAGGCCUGGGAAAUUCCAUAUGCCGCAGGUGCAGCCCUAAAAAGACAGACGAAAAGACAAAAAAAAAAAAAAAAAAAAACUUGAUCGUGAGGGCGAUAGCACUAAAAGUGAGAUAAAAUUUCCAGGAACCUCUUCUGUCUACAUCACAUCGGACCUGUAGGUCACUGAAACAUGUAGUAGCAAUGAGCAAAUCAUCUGAUGCCCAAAUUCCGCUGAAUGCUUCUUACUGGCAAAAAUGAUAAAAUUUGCCCUCACAGAGCUUACAUGGCAUAGAAAAGAGAAAGAAAAUGAAUUAUAUGUGUAAUAAAUAUAAGUACAUAAUGCUGUUAUAAGGCUAUAAGAAUUAUAACAUUAGGCUAGGGCCAGGUACACUGAGAGUGAUAAGAGUAAGGCUUGAAAUUCCAAGUGAGGUUUUCAAGACAUUACUCUAUGUGAAGUUAGCAUUGAGGAAAAUCUUAAAGGCACUGAAGGAGUUAAACAUUGCAUGUCUGGAGAAAAAAAAAAAAUGUUCCAUGAAGAAGAAAAAUAAGUAAAAAUGCACUAAGGUUGAAGUGUAUCUAGCUUGGUCAAGGAAGAGCAGAGGCCAAAGAGCCUGGAGCAAAGUUAGCAAAAAAGAGAAAGAAGACAUAUAGGGUCAGAGAGUUAAUGGAACCAGGCAGGUGGGACCAGACCUUGCUCAUGAUUUUGGUUUUGGUUUUGACUUAGUACAGAAAAGAGAGCUCUCUGGAGGGUUCUAAGAAGGAAAAGUGACUUAUCUUGUACUUUAAAGGGAUCAGUCCAGCUGCUGUGUAAUAACAGAUAAGGCAUGUUUGAGGAAGAGGGUGGUCAGGGAGAGUUCAAGUUAGGAUGUUAUCACAGGAAACCCGGUGAGACAUGAUGAUAGCUUAGGCCUGCAGGUAAAAUAUGGUGAGGAUGAUAAAAAGACAGACAAAUAAUUUGUCCUUCUUGUAUAUUUUCCUAUUAGCAAAAAAAAAAAAAAAAA